AUGCCCAGGGCAUCUACCCAGAGGCAUUCUCCCCCCAAAUCUGCAGGUUUGGAGGUGCGGGGGGGGGGCAGAAGAUCUAUUGUGAGGAAGCCAAGAAGCAGAUGUCUGCCUCCCCUGCUCCCUCCCACAGGGCAAGGAUGUGAAACUAACCCAGAGUGGACGGUGAAGUGCAACUGCCGGGUGUUCUUCCAGUUCUGGAGAAUGCACAGCUUCCUGCUCAAUGCCAGCUGGACCUUCUUCCUAGAGAGAAGCAACUGCUGUCGGACACAUUGCUGGGGAAAGCCAGACAUGAGCCUCCUUCAGCACCGGACACAGCCUAGGAUCCUGCUGGGCUCAGGACCUCCCCUCCCAUCUCUAGUCCCACGAGGAAUGUUUGUUCCCGUUCUCUGCUGGGGGAGUUUUUUCAUGGCGGGGCCUCAUCCUCGACGAAGCUGUGGGACUCAGAGCCAGGCUCUGUGUGGCCCGACGAUCCUGCUGACCCUGGCCUCCUGCAGACCAUGGGCCGCCAUACCCCUGGCCGCAUUUCCAGCUUUUCAAGUGGGAAGAAACCACCCCGUGUCCCAGGACUUGCACUUCUGUGGGCCAUCCUCAGCAAGACAUUUUCAUGGAUAUGAAACUGGACACCGAGUUGACGCUGAAGUUCAGCUGCUGGGUCAUCUUCCAUUUCUGGAGCCUGCUCAGCUUCCUUGUAAAACCCGGCUGGGCUUUCACCCUGGACAGGAGCAACUGGUAACAGCACUGUCCCUCGUGCCCUCAUAGCUAGAUUGCCAAGCAGCUGUUUGGAAGCAAGUCUUCCCACUACACCAGCCCUGCACAUUGUGUGUCCUCCAGAGGCACCAUAGAUUGGAAAUGAAUCCUGGUGCCUGGCUAGCAAGACAGCAGUAGCCAGUGAGACAUGACGAGAUCUCAGAAGGAGAGUAUAUGUGUGAACUUAUCCUCAGGCUCCUCUGUACCCUAGCUUUACUGCAAACACACAGGUAAAGUAUAAAUGGUGUCCACCUCAGAAAUGAAUCGCAUUCUGAGGCUUUUUACUCAUUCUCCUUCUAGUGCUUGGCUUACAGAGUGGGUAUAGAAUGAUGGAGUUACAUACAUGUGUGUUACUUUCUGAGUGCAUCCUUUAAUUCUCCCUGCCUAGGGCAUCAUUGCUCUUCAAGGGCAGGGGAAAAACCACCUCAGAUCAUAUAUUUAUAUCUUCUCUUCUCCCUGAACACUUUGUAACUCUCAGAAUCUUCUAGAAUCCAGGCACAGACAUUCAUGGAUACUCUAUCUUUUCAGUAGGCAAGAGAUUUUAGAAAGGGAAGCAGUUCUCCUGCCCUGCACCUAUUUUCACUGCACAAAAGUCAGUCAUAUCAAGUGUACAAGUUUAGUAACUGGAGGCCACUGGUGGGCUGCAGCCCAAUUCCAAAAGAAAGACAAUUAUUAUUUUUGGAAACAGUGUCCAAACUAAAAUAAUGCAGAUACAGUAGCCUGUCAAUAGAGUCCUUAAUAUUUUUCCUAAUCCUUUUUAUCCUUGGAGUUGGUGCUUUCUCAUGUAAAGAACCUACAGAAUCAUAGACUUAAUGCUGACUUAAGUUGGCUUUCCCAAAUAUCAAAUAUCAGGCAUUAUCUGUAGUUGAGGACCUUCAUGAGUUUGAAGAUCAUGUCAUUUUACACGGAGCCUUCUCUGUAAGGAUAAGACAAAGGGAUUUGUCCUUUGCUAAAAUGUUCAGUGGUGUAGCAGUAGAAAGGGGGGUCUGCCACUGUAGCACAGUGAGCUAAGCUGCUGUCUGCAGUGCCUGCAACCCUAUAUGGGCUCUGGUUUGAGUCCCAACUGUACUGUUUCUGAUCCAGCUCCCUGCUGAAGGCCUGGGAAAGCAGUGGGAGAUGGCACAAGUUCUUGUUCCACUGCACCCCCUUGGGACAUCCAGAGGAUGCUUCUGGCUCCCGAGUGGGGCCUGGCCUAGUCCUGGGUAUUGCAGCCAUUUGGGGAGUACAUUGAAUAUCUGUCUCUCUCUCCCCCUCUCCUUCUCUCUCUCUCUCAAACUGCAUUUCAAAUAAAUUUUAAAAAGUUCUUACUAGAAGAAAGAUC
RNAcentral lists this long non-coding RNA (2068 nucleotides) under Oryctolagus cuniculus (rabbit). Its description in RNAcentral is "lncRNA (ENSOCUG00000033680.1)". The record is from RNAcentral. Lineage: Eukaryota; Metazoa; Chordata; Mammalia; Lagomorpha; Leporidae.